CUCCACUAGUCGCCUCCCGUCGCGCCUGUGUCACGGGGUAGCGGGGGCUCGGCCCGGUGGCUGGUGCCGGACUGUGCCCGCACCCCGCCGGGGCGAAGGCGGCGGUGACGCUGCCCGGCCUUUGUCGGGGCCGGCAGGGGGGUGAGCGGCCUUCCCUUUCCUGACAUGGUGUGAGGUGCCCGCCGGGUGGCUGCUCGGCGCCCCCUGGUUUCCUCAGCCCCAGCCCUCCGGUGUGGUGCUCAGCGAGGCGCUGUGGGCGCCAGGCUGGCCCCGGCUCCCCUCCUGCCGCGAUAGGCCGCUAGAGCGGCGGUCCGGCUGGCCUGGGGUCCGCGCCCGCUCCGGGUGCCUCCGGCCAGGCAGGGGCUUUGCACGGCCAAAGGUUAAAAUGAAUGUUGGUGUCCCAGAUCCGUUUGAGCUUCAAGUCUCUGAGAAGAUCAGUGGGAAUGGCCGAAGGUAUGGGGUGGUUUAUGUGCUGGUCUCAGGGUGUGGGGCUGAACUUCUCAAGUGAGGGUGAUGGGAGGCAUUAUGAAAAAAACCUUCGAAAUAGUGAGUUUAAUGGAGAGGUUGUGGUUAUAAUUUUCUUACUAUAAGAACCAGUGUGCCAUCAGUUUAGGUUGUGGGAUCCAAGUUCAUAGCAGGCAAAAGCUUGACAGUGCUAAAGAGCAGACUUGCAAAAUUUGUAGUCAUAAGACUACAUAAGACCAAAUGCAAGAGAUCUGCAUGUGGUGAAGAGGAAAUGGAGCUACUAGAAAGAGAGAGGAGUGCACUGGGGAUUGCAAUAUGCACAGGCUACACCUAGCCCAGGACAUCUCUGUGCCUAAAAGAAUACUUUAAGGCCAAAGAAUUUUAGAAGAGAGGUAUUUCCCAUUCUUGUGUUAUUUUUACUAUUACCUGGAUGUCAGCUCAUGACCACUGCAAUGGUUUGUUUUCUUUAACAUAUACAAUUUAAUUAAAUUUUUAAAAUGAAUGGUUACCACUGAUCUAAUAUGUUGUGGAGAAUAAUCCUGUAAGUGUACACUUCCAGGAGCUCAGGAACUGGAGAGAAGAACCUAUCUUCUCCGUGAGUUUUUUUGCACUGACACAUGAAAAUGGGGGAAGGUGGAGUUUCUUGCCUUCAGGACUUCCUCUUUUCUUUUCCUUCCUCUGGCAAGUAGCUGGGUUGAGAAGCCCAGAAACGUGGACUACCACUGGUCAUAAGUAUGAAGUACAAAUACUUGCUUCGAUGAAAGAUUCUCCCGCCCUUACAUAAAAAGUUCAGGUGUGUCUCACUGCUACUGAUAAUGACUUUCUCAGAAGUAGCAGAGCUUAUUCCAACAAAUAGAUAAGAAACAAUAAAAGUGCUAAAAUUAAUUAUAUGUCCCUUUCUUUGUUUUGGGGCGGCAGAGCUGGGGAAGGUUGGAAACUGUUUUCCCGACUCUGCAAGGACAACACUUCCUCAGUUCAGAUUUGGAAAACUUUGUGUGCAGCCAUUACUUAGAAAGGUCUUUCUCUUUUUACUAUGAAGAGGAAUGGCCUUGUUUGUUCUGACGGAGGCAUUUUGUUGAGUUUUUCGAUGUGGAUUGUUUUGACUCUGAUACACUGCUGUUCUUAUCUUCCCUGUUCUUUGUUAGAAGCAUACAUUAUCAUUUAAAAAAAAUCAUCUUUGCACACUGAAUGUAAAAAUGAGAUAGCCGAAAAUGAAGCAGGUCAGUCAUCUGUGUUGUUAAUAUUUGAUAUGCUGUAUUACAGCUAUAGCGAGACCACUUAGAGGAGGGGAUUUUAACAGUUCCAGACUUCACAGUUAUGUAAGGAGUUCACUGAGUAAUUA
This 1807-nucleotide long non-coding RNA is filed under the name Strigops habroptila (Kakapo). Its description in RNAcentral is "lncRNA (ENSSHBG00005020242.1)". The record is from RNAcentral. Lineage: Eukaryota; Metazoa; Chordata; Aves; Psittaciformes; Psittacidae.